GGACAAUGACGAUAAACAUGAACAAAAUACACCGUCUUUCGGGACUGAUUAGUGCAUUCCACAUGCCAUGCUGUCAAAUCUGCAAUUCUGAUGUUC
Lolium perenne is the source of this 96-nucleotide small nucleolar RNA. RefSeq annotates it as small nucleolar RNA SNORD96 family. The record is from RefSeq and is a predicted model, not a curated record. Lineage: Eukaryota; Viridiplantae; Streptophyta; Magnoliopsida; Poales; Poaceae.